This 331-nucleotide ribosomal RNA is filed under the name Ocyptamus isthmus. RNAcentral describes it as "partial 12S ribosomal RNA". The record is from RNAcentral. Lineage: Eukaryota; Metazoa; Arthropoda; Insecta; Diptera; Syrphidae.
UUAAAAGGUAAAUAAAUUUAUUUGAGUAGUAUUAGUUAUAUUCUUGAAACUAAAAAAAUUUGGCGGUAUUUUAGUCUAUUCAGAGGAACUUGUUUUUUAAUCGAUAAUCCACGAUGUACCUUACUUAAAAUUGUUAAUCAAUCUAUAUAUCGUUGUUAUUAGAAUAUUUUAUAAGAAUAAUAAUUUUCUAUAAUUUAUAUUAAAAUUAAUAUCAAAUCAAGGUGUAGUUUAUUUUUAAGAAUAAAUGAGUUACAAUAAAAUAUAUUUAUGAAUUUAAAUAUGAAAAAUUUAAUGAAAUUGGAUUUGAUAGUAAAAUUAUAAAGAUAAAUAA